AAUAGAUACCCGGGUAGUCCACGCCGUAAACGAUGAGUGCUAAGUGUUAGAGGGUUUCCGCCCUUUAGUGCUGCAGCUAACGCAUUAAGCACUCCGCCUGGGGAGUACGGCCGCAAGGCUGAAACUCAAAGGAAUUGACGGGGGCCCGCACAAGCGGUGGAGCAUGUGGUUUAAUUCGAAGCAACGCGAAGAACCUUACCAGGUCUUGACAUCCUCUGACAACCCUAGAGAUAGGGCUUUCCCCUUCGGGGGACAGAGUGACAGGUGAUGCAUGGUUGUCGUCAGCUCGUGUCGUGAGAUGUUGGGUUAAGUCCCGCAACGAGCGCAACCCUUGAUCUUAGUUGCCAGCAUUCAGUUGGGCACUCUAAGGUGACUGCCGGUGACAAACCGGAGGAAGGUGGGGAUGACGUCAAAUCAUCAUGCCCCUUAUGACCUGGGCUACACACGUGCUACAAUGGAUGGUACAAAGGGCUGCAAACCUGCGAAGGUAAGCGAAUCCCAUAAAGCCAUUCUCAGUUCGGAUUGC
RNAcentral lists this ribosomal RNA (526 nucleotides) under uncultured bacterium. RNAcentral's name for it is "bacterial SSU rRNA". It matches the Rfam family "Bacterial small subunit ribosomal RNA", at positions 777 to 1301 of the family's 1533-position model. The record is from RNAcentral.